AUUUAACGCUGGCGGCAGGCCUAACACAUGCAAGUCGAACGAGUGGCGGACGGGUUAGUAAUGUCUUGGAAACUGCCUGAUGGAGGGGGAUAACUACUGGAAACGGUAGCUAAUAACGCAUACCAUCAGAUGUGCCCAGGUGGGAUUAGCUAGUUGGUGGGGUAACGGCUCACCAAGGCGACGAUCCCUAGACGGUCUGAGAGGAUGACCAUCCACACGGGAACUGAGCCACGGUCCGUACUCCUACGGUAGGCAGCAGUGGGGAAUAUUGCACAAUGGGCGCAAGCCUGAUGCAGCCAUGCCGCGUGUAUGAAGAAGGCCUUCGGGUUGUAAAGUACUUUCAGCGGGGAGGCGUUACCCGCAGAAGAAGCACCGGCUAACUCCGUGCCAGCAGCCGCGGUAAUAC
This 406-nucleotide ribosomal RNA is filed under the name uncultured bacterium. Its description in RNAcentral is "partial 16S ribosomal RNA". It matches the Rfam family "Bacterial small subunit ribosomal RNA", at positions 32 to 526 of the family's 1533-position model. The record is from RNAcentral.